This 1567-nucleotide long non-coding RNA is filed under the name Homo sapiens (human). Its description in RNAcentral is "HSALNT0313431". Lineage: Eukaryota; Metazoa; Chordata; Mammalia; Primates; Hominidae. The record is from RNAcentral.
CUGCUCAGCUUCCCAAAGUAAUGGGAAUACAGGAAACAAAGACAAGUGAAGCAGCAAACUUGCCGAACAAUCUCUGCCACACCAUAUGCACUUCAAAAGACCAACCACAGUGAUUAAAGGGAUGAAAAAGAUGACCUGCUUGAAAACUCUAAAGAACCCAGUAUUAUUUGAAAGAAGAGGAAGCUGAAUGCCCUCUGUCCUUCUCUGGAAUAAGAACUAACCUGAACAACAGUAACAACAAUACAAACAGCUAUGAAGAUUAUGUAUAGCUGGAGGCUACAAGCAGAUGGUGACCAAACCUGUCAGAUUGUUUUUUAAAGAUGCUGAGGAGCAGAUUUCUCAUGGGGAGCACCUUCUGAUACAUUUUAAUACGUUUCUUACAGGCUAGUCAAAUAAAGCAGUGGGAGUGGAAAAGGAUCAAAGAAAUCUGUAACCGGUUAUGAUCAAUUAGUUGUAAACACCACUGCACGAGGACCAGCCCAAAGCUGCUACUUAACCAAGUGACUUUCUGAUUGCUCAACUGUGUUUCCACUGAGAAAAAUGCAUUGAAAUGAAACAUCUCAUUUCCAGUACUGUCCUGAGGCAAAAAGAGACAAUGAUACGUAUCUCCAAUUUAGACUGGAUGAAACUAGCCACAUUUCAAAUAAAGAAGUCACAUUGUAAGUGUAAAACGACGUUAACCUUAAAGGAGACAUUUCCGCCCUGUAUAACUAUGCACAGCUUCAACUAAUGGUAUAUGAACUGUGUCUACAAACCAAAGGACAUUUUUCUAAAGAAACUUUAAAUAUAGAAAAUUAACUCAAACCUUACCUUAGAGCUUCCUCCUCUAUUGUCUUUUCCUGUAGUGGUAGUCUCUGUGGCACUUACAGGUGGUAAACAAAUAAAAAAGUGUCUUAUUGAAUUAACUUGAUUGCCAUAUUGAUCAGUUUUAUGUGUUUUUAUUCUUAAGCAUAACAAUAAAAGAAAAUGAUUAAGCAAUGUUUUGCUUAAAAAAAAAAGAUUUCAUGGCAGAGAAGCAAUUGAGUCCAGUUAAGAGACAGUUAAGAACAUUUUUCAGUUUGGAGCUUUUGUUUUGUGAUGAGAACUUUGCCAGUUAGUCACAAAUGAACUUGAGCACAUUUUCUUGAGCGUGAUGGCUGAACAGAUGAGCCACACACACUUUAUAGUGAGUUUUACUGCACUGAGUCUUUACCUACUAUUCCUAGUAGUUACACAUAUUAAAUUAUUAAUAACUGAUCAACAUUUUAAAAGAAGGUUUCAAAAGAAAUGUAAUUAGAUUUUAUAGUUGAGUUUUAGCUAAUGUGUGAUUCCACAAAAGUUCAGGUGCCGAGAUUACAUUUCAAUUUAUACUUGCCAUCUGCUAGAAUAUUCCCCUCUGUCUACAGCAUCCUGACCAGAUCUCCAAAUUUUGAAAUCUGUUUUCAUUAUUCAAGACUCAUUGUACAUUUCAAAUACCAGGUUGAUUUCUUAGUCUCCAUGUUCUCCAUGUCUGCUUAUGACUUUACAGAAAAAAUGUUAUUUACUAUGCAUAUUAAUAUUGAGAUUCUUUACUAUGCUGUAUCUUUUU